This 700-nucleotide ribosomal RNA is filed under the name uncultured bacterium. Its description in RNAcentral is "bacterial SSU rRNA". It matches the Rfam family "Bacterial small subunit ribosomal RNA", at positions 8 to 703 of the family's 1533-position model. The record is from RNAcentral.
AGAGUUUGAUCCUGGCUCAGAUUGAACGCUGGCGGCAGGCCUAACACAUGCAAGUCGAGCGGUAGAGAGAAGCUUGCUUCUCUUGAGAGCGGCGGACGGGUGAGUAAUGCCUAGGAAUCUGCCUGGUAGUGGGGGAUAACGUUCGGAAACGGACGCUAAUACCGCAUACGUCAUACGGGAGAAAGCAGGGGACUUUCGGGCCUUGCGCUAUCAGAUGAGCCUAGGUCGGAUUAGCUAGUUGGUGGGGUAAUGGCUCACCAAGGCGACGAUCCGUAACUGGUCUGAGAGGAUGAUCAGUCACACUGGAACUGAGACACGGUCCAGACUCCUACGGGAGGCAGCAGUGGGGAAUAUUGAACAAUGGGCGAAAGCCUGAUCCAGCCGUGCCGCGUGUGUGAAGAAGGUCUUCGGAUUGUAAAGCACUUUAAGUUGGGAGGAAGGGCAGUAAAUUAAUACUUUGCUGUUUUGACGUUACCGACAGAAUAAGCACCGGCUAACUCUGUGCCAGCAGCCGCGGUAAUACGAAGGGUGCAAGCGUUAAUCGGAAUUACUGGGCGUAAAGCGCGCGUAGGUGGUUCAGCAAGUUGGAUGUGAAAGCCCCGGGCUCAACCUGGGAACUGCAUCCAAAACUACUGAGCUAGAGUACGGUAGAGGGUGGUGGAAUUUCCUGUGUAGCGGUGAAAUGCUUAGAUAUAGGAAG